CAGCGACAAAAAACCUAAACCUAUCGCCCGAACUUACGAGCGACAGCUCCUGCCCUCGAGCGAGAACCACUCUCACGUCUGCCCUCGUUCGCCGCCGCUCCAUCCCUUCUCCGCCGCCGCCGCCACCGCCGCCCCCGCCACCUCCCGUCGCGGGCAGGCGGGAGGAGCCCUGUCCGGCCAUGGCAACACCGCCGGCGGCCUCCUCCUCCCCCUCACCUUCUCUCCCUCUCCCAAAGGAGGGAAGGUAAUGGAAGGGAUCUGAUCGGAGCGGUGGAUCUGCGCCCUUGCCGUGUCUUCUUUUCUUCACGGAUUCCAGGAGGAGAUCGAAGUGGGAGGUAGACGAGCAGGAGCGCCGCGUCCGCGACAACGAUGAACGACGACCCAGGUUCUCGUCUCCCAUGGCAGGGGCCGGCGAGUGGCAACAGAUGCGGGACACCAACUGGUGGCGCAACGGACAGCGGGAGAUCGGCUGGUGGCAACGAAUGGCAGGAGGCCGCACGACCGUGCGAGGAGCAGGUAGCUGGAGGAUGUCGCCGGUGGAAAUCUGGCAAGUGGCGGCGACAUAGAGGGCUUAUGGAAUUGAAAUCUGAAGACAUGGUGAUUUUUACCCAAUGGGUUAUGCCCUUGAGCACGAAGAUCUUUUGAACUUUGAGGUUCAGGACAACGCGUGCUUCUCACAUUUAUUGAGACAGAGAGUAUUAAUCAACAGCGGUUCAAGUUUCUACAAUGAGCUAUACAUCAUCUAAACUCACAUGGAUAUACCAGGUCUGCCUUUCCCUACAAUUUAAGCCUUUGUUUUGGCAGGUAUCAGUCACCUGGUGCUAAACUUGGUGCUUAAUGAUCAACUAGAACAAAGUUUCAUAGCCUUCCAGAUUUGUCAAAUCUACAAUAACAGGAUAAUUCCUGUUAGACAUGUUAUUCUACUGGUACAUGUCAUAUAACGGAAUUCUUGUAUUUUGGAAGGAGAAAACAUUGAGUGGAGCUAUUAUGCAAUUCAAGUGGCAUGGUCAUCUGAGAUUUUGUUUUUUCUUAAUCGUGACAUGUGUUAAUAUUGUGCAAAUCAGAAUAUCAUUUUUUAGGUUUGCAAAUAAAAUUAACUUGAAUAAAGUAUUUUGAACUUAGUGAGCAUAACAGUGUUUUGUAGUGUGAGGAUAAUAAGGUGAAGUGAGGCUGCUGCUCACCGGUGGCUCGCCGGCCAUCCAAGAGCCGGAAUUGCGGCCCCACGCGAGGGAAAGAUCAGCGUUGCUGCAGCCACCGCAGGACACCCACCAUGCGCGUACCAUACAGGCAGCAGCAGCCUCACUUCACCUUGGAUGACAUGACGAUUAUGAAAUAUUCAGUCAUCCCCCUUGGGUCUACCUGUUAGAAACUUGGACCUACUCAUGUGUUUGAGAUGAUUGUGCAGAAAAGAUGAAAAACGGGAUAAAAUUCUAUGUGAGAGAUGACCGCUAAAGGAAUGUACAUGGAGAUUAUCUAUAAGGGUUAUGUCCCGUGCAAGGAGAUUAUCUUAUAGGACAGGCAUAUCAGCCCCCAUUCAGACAUAGCAGAUAUUCAACAGAAGAAGUUCCUCCACUGCUACUGGCCAAACUCUAAGCAAAAAGACCUUCCACUUUCCUUGCUAAUGGUGAGCAACUCAAAGAUGGCUACAAGGUUACACUCAAUAUUUACUCUCUGAAUAACAUAUUAUUUAUUUGACCAAUACAUGUAUAAAUGCCUUGAGAGAACAUGUAUAUAUAGCUGCAUAUAUGUUAUAUCUGAACAAUGGCAGAUUUGACCAUUAAUUACAUGUAUAUACUUGCUAGGAGAGAACGUGUAUAGCUUUCAGUUAAGCUUUUCGAUCAUUAAGCUGUUGCUUUCUCAUCUUAUUUCUAGGUAGAAACAUUAUUGGUGUUCUUUAGCUUAAUUUUGAAACAUGAACACCAUCAUGUCUUCAUCGCCGAAAGUGACGUUCUUUCCCAUUAAUCUGUGCACUCGAAAACUAUUCAAA
This is a long non-coding RNA of Triticum aestivum (bread wheat), 1987 nucleotides long. RefSeq lists it as uncharacterized. NCBI's taxonomy places the organism in Eukaryota, Viridiplantae, Streptophyta, Magnoliopsida, Poales, Poaceae. The transcript has 6 exons. The record is from RefSeq and is a predicted model, not a curated record.